GCUUGAGAAUGAGCUCAGGAGAGUUCUAACACUUCAUACAUUGCGUGAAUCAGAGGCAAAAAAAUUCUGUAAAUACUGUUCAGUUCACAGACCAAUUGUUUGGUGUCUUUUUGUUCUGUAUAUAAAAACAAUACAAUUCUAUGCAACGUCCCCAUUUGGAAAGCUAAGAAAACAUUUGUGUGUUGGUGUGUGGUGUAUGUUUAUAAACUGUGUAAAUGAUUUAUGUAUUUCAUUGUCUAUCAAUAGGCUGUUUUGCACAUUUGAUUAAUAAAAUUCGACUUGUGUAAUACCAAGUGCUGUAGUCUGUAGUCAGUCUACUGGUUUCUUUAUUAGUUCAGUGUAUCUUUAUUGCUUCAGGGUUUUUUUUUUCCACAGUUGUGGGUUAGUUGGCUUCAACUCUGGCCUGCUUCAUAUGUCAAGUUUAUGUAAAGUCACACAUCGUGGAAGACAUCAGCGCAUGGGCCUCUGAUAUCUUAGUCUUCACAACUGUUCAACUUCAUCACUAUUAAGUGUGUUUGCUGCUUUCCUGUUUUUUUAUUCUGUCAUUUCUGCUCAGAUUAGUCUGAACUCUUUUACUGCAUUUCACAGAAUGAAGACGGAGCAACUUGUAGUCUUCUGUAAGUUACUCAGUUUUUAUGAUUUUAUUGACUUUGUCACGAUUGGAUAGUUUAACAAGGUGAAUCUGUUUACAAUCUUCUACAGAAUAAUCUGAAUGAUCUGUGUGUUUGUGUAGGUCUGCUGGUGUGUCAAACUACAGAGAGUUUAACUGAUAAACCGGUGAAUUUAGGGGAAAACGUGUUUUUAGACUUUCAGAUUGGUGUAGGAGACAUUUAUUGGGUUUUCCAGAAACUGACAGACUCUCCGCUGCUGAUACUGCGAACUUUCAUGUUCUACAGCAUCUUUUUUUUUUAUGAUGAUAGAUUAAAAGACCAAAUAUUCAUUACUAACUUGGAGUCAUUUAUUUAUUAAUAUAUUAUUGUCUAAAAACAGGCUCACUUUUACAGCACAGCGAUGGCACCAGACUUUACAUCAUUGGUGAGUGUGUAUAAAAUCAUCUUGACGAAUCAGUUUGAUCUGUUGUUAUAUCUAUGAAUUACCUAAAGCAGUUAUAAUGCACUAUAUUUGUAUUUAUCCAUAUAUAUAUAUAUAUACACACACACACAGAUGUGUUGUUAUUUUUACCAUUCUGUAGUUUGCUUCCGUGGAGUUUUGUCUGUCCUGCCCGACUUUGAUUCUUUUUAAAAAAUCCCCCCCCCCCCCAAAAAAAAAAAAAACUACAAAAACACAAUGAAGUGUAAAUUGUCGAAUAAAAAUAUAUUUAGCUUAAUUUUGCUUGUUUGUUGCAACUUGAUGGGUUUGUAGAACUGUAUGUAAAAUUCAAGCUUUCUCCAGCUUAGCUUUUCUUUGUUUUUUUUGUCUUGAAAAGUAAAUUAUUAAGAAUUAAAUGUUUAGGCUAAAUGUAGUUUUUAGUAGUGUGAAUAUUAAUUAUUAUCGAUAAAUGAGUAUACAUUAAAAGAUUAGUUCACCCCAAAAUAACUAAUUGUCAUCAUUCAUUCACCCUUGUGUUGAUACAACCCCAUUUCACUUUCUUCCAUUAAACACAAUUAAAAGGAAAGUUAAGCACAAUGUGUCAGGGUUACUGAGGGAGAGGACCCAGAAGCAAAAUGAACAAGGAACGUUUAUUGACAGAUAAGACAAGGCACGGUAGGAGGGAGUGGCUUAAACAGUCCAGACAGUAGGAUAGGGCAUACAAGAGUGGAGCAGGCUGACGCGGGUGGGGGGACCAGACCACAGCACCAGGAACCAAGGGCACUUGGCUAUGGAGGUAAAGCCACAAACGUCAGACCUCUAGGCGGGGAGACCCAGUGGCCAGG
RNAcentral lists this long non-coding RNA (1874 nucleotides) under Carassius auratus (goldfish). RNAcentral's name for it is "lncRNA (ENSCARG00000031689.1)". Lineage: Eukaryota; Metazoa; Chordata; Actinopteri; Cypriniformes; Cyprinidae. The record is from RNAcentral.